AGGAUUCCCCUAGUAACUGCGAGUGAAGCGGGAAAAGCUCAAAUUUAAAAUCUGGUAGUCUUUGGCUGCCCGAGUUGUAAUCUAGAGAAGCAUUAUCUGCGUUGGACCGUGUACAAGUGUCCUGGAAUGGACCAUCAUAGAGGGUGAGAAUCCCGUCUUUGACACGGACUCCCAAGGCUUUGUGAUGUGCUCUCAAAGAGUCGAGUUGUUUGGGAAUGCAGCUCUAAAUGGGUGGUAAAUUCCAUCUAAAGCUAAAUAUUGGCGAGAGACCGAUAGCGAACAAGUACCGUGAGGGAAAGAUGAAAAGAACUUUGGAAAGAGAGUUAAACAGUACGUGAAAUUGCUGAAAGGGAAACGCUUGAAGUCAGUCGCGUUGGCUGGGGAUCAACCUUGCUCUUCUUGCUUGGCUUACUUCCCAGUUGACGGGUCAGCAUCAGUUUUGACCGGUGGACAAAGGUUAAGGGAAUGUGGCACCUUCUGGUGUGUUAUAGCCCUUGGUCAUAUACAUUGGUUGG
This 515-nucleotide ribosomal RNA is filed under the name Termitomyces sp. symbiont of Macrotermes muelleri. Its description in RNAcentral is "eukaryotic LSU rRNA". It matches the Rfam family "Eukaryotic large subunit ribosomal RNA", at positions 71 to 583 of the family's 3401-position model. Lineage: Eukaryota; Fungi; Basidiomycota; Agaricomycetes; Agaricales; Lyophyllaceae. The record is from RNAcentral. RNAcentral also lists the same sequence under 1 other name.